GCCUACGGGGGGCAGCAGUCGAGAAUCAUUCACAAUGGGGGAAACCCUGAUGGUGCGACGCCGCGUGGGGGAAUGAAGGUCUUCGGAUUGUAAACCCCUGUCAUGUGGGAGCAAAUUAAAAAGAUAGUACCACAAGAGGAAGAGACGGCUAACUCUGUGCCAGCAGCCGCGGUAAUACAGAGGUCUCAAGCGUUGUUCGGAAUCACUGGGCGUAAAGCGUGCGUAGGCUGUUUCGUAAGUCGUGUGUGAAAGGCGCGGGCUCAACCCGCGGACGGCACAUGCUACUGCGAGACUAGAGUAAUGGG
This 305-nucleotide ribosomal RNA is filed under the name uncultured bacterium. Its description in RNAcentral is "bacterial SSU rRNA". It matches the Rfam family "Bacterial small subunit ribosomal RNA", at positions 337 to 653 of the family's 1533-position model. The record is from RNAcentral.